This 324-nucleotide ribosomal RNA is filed under the name uncultured eukaryote. RNAcentral's name for it is "partial 18S ribosomal RNA". It matches the Rfam family "Eukaryotic small subunit ribosomal RNA", at positions 1470 to 1796 of the family's 1831-position model. The record is from RNAcentral.
CCCUUAGAUGUUCUGGGCUGCACGCGCGCUACACUGAAGCUAUCAACACGUUUUCCCUCCCUGAGAAGGGCGGGUAACCUUUUGAAUCAGCUUCGUGGUAGGGAUCGGGGCUUGCAAUUGUUCCCCGUGAACCAGGAAUUCCCAGUAGACGCGAGUCAUAAGCUCGCAUCGAUUAAGUCCCUGCCCUUUGUACACACCGCCCGUCGCUACUACCGAUUGAACGUUUUAGUGAGGCAUUUGGACCGACGCAUCUCAGUUUAACCGCUGGUUUGUGUUGGAAAGACUUCCAAACUUGAGCGUUUAGAGGAAGUAAAAGUCGUAACA